GGGCUGUAGUCGGUCCCAAGGGUUGGGCUGUUCGCCCAUUAAAGCGGUACGCGAGCUGGGUUCAGAACGUCGUGAGACAGUUCGGUCCCUAUCCGUCGUGGGCGUAGGAAAUUUGAGAGGAGCUGUCCUUAGUACGAGAGGACCGGGAUGGACGCACCGCUGGUGUACCAGUUGUUCUGCCAAGGGCAUAGCUGGGUAGCUAUGUGCGGAAGGGAUAAGUGCUGAAAGCAUCUAAGCAUGAAGCCCCCCUCAAGAUGAGAUUUCCCAUAGCGUAAGCUAGUAAGAUCCCUGAAAGAUGAUCAGGUUGAUAGGUUCGAGGUGGAAGCAUGGUGACAUGUGGAGCUGACGAAUACUAAUAGAUCGAGGACUUAACCAUAUAA
This 380-nucleotide ribosomal RNA is filed under the name Bacillus cereus. RNAcentral describes it as "bacterial LSU rRNA". It matches the Rfam family "Bacterial large subunit ribosomal RNA", at positions 2550 to 2925 of the family's 2925-position model. The record is from RNAcentral. RNAcentral also lists the same sequence under 1 other name. Lineage: Bacteria; Bacillati; Bacillota; Bacilli; Caryophanales; Bacillaceae.